This 301-nucleotide ribosomal RNA is filed under the name uncultured bacterium. RNAcentral describes it as "partial 16S ribosomal RNA". It matches the Rfam family "Bacterial small subunit ribosomal RNA", at positions 509 to 809 of the family's 1533-position model. The record is from RNAcentral.
CAGCAGCCGCGGGAAUACGUAGGUGGCAAGCGUUGACCGGAAUUAUUGGGCGUAAAGGGCUCGCAGGCGGUUUCUUAAGUCUGAUGUGAAAGCCCCCGGCUCAACCGGGGAGGGUCAUUGGAAACUGGGAAACUUGAGUGCAGAAGAGGAGAGUGGAAUUCCACGUGUAGCGGUGAAAUGCGUAGAGAUGUGGAGGAACACCAGUGGCGAAGGCAACUCUCUGGUCUGUAACUGACGCUAAGGAGCGAAAGCGUGGGGAGCGAACAGGAUUAGAUACCCCAGUAGUCCCUGUCUCUUAUAU